This is a long non-coding RNA of Daphnia pulicaria, 601 nucleotides long. RefSeq lists it as uncharacterized. The record is from RefSeq and is a predicted model, not a curated record. The transcript has 3 exons. Lineage: Eukaryota; Metazoa; Arthropoda; Branchiopoda; Diplostraca; Daphniidae.
GUUUCAAAGUCCUGAGUAAUGAAAAGAUUUUUGGAUAAUGGGAUAGCUAUGAUUAUUGGUUUGACCUUGGGUUUUGCUUGAGCAAGCAAUAAAGUACACCUCUACUCAAUGCAUGUUCACUCAAUCUCAUUUCAUGUUUCCCUUUAAUUUGUUUAACAUGUAUUUUCGUUUUUCCCUUUCUCUCCUGUGCAGAUGUGAUACCUGAGCCAAUAUCAACACCAUCUAUCUACGUUAGCCACUAAGGCCAGUUUUGCUAGUGUCUGUAGCAACUGCCAUCAGUAGCUGCCUCAGAUUCCUCAAUUGGGUGAACCUUAUUUGAUGUUGUGUCCACUGUUGUUGGCCGACUCAUCUCUUCCUCACCUUUCUUUGAAUCCUCGUGUACGUUCAUGUGAGUGUGAACGUAUUCACGAGGAUGACCUUCCUCCAGUUUCCUACCCGACAUCUCUAAUUGGAAUGAUUUGAUUAUCUGCGAAUGGAAAUCUGAAAUGCUCGGCGGCAUCAAGCAGCCUUAAAGCAGUUGUAUUGAUCAUCACCAUAAUUUGAAAAUGAACAUCGUCGCCUCUUUCCCUCAUCUUGCAAUACGAAAGAAAAUAUUUCCUGA